This 30-nucleotide non-coding RNA is filed under the name Homo sapiens (human). The record is from RNAcentral. Lineage: Eukaryota; Metazoa; Chordata; Mammalia; Primates; Hominidae.
UUCUGUUCUUCACCCUGAUCUGUUCUUCCC